Long non-coding RNA from Beta vulgaris subsp. vulgaris (sugar beet), 2940 nucleotides. RefSeq lists it as uncharacterized. The transcript is spliced from 3 exons. The record is from RefSeq and is a predicted model, not a curated record. Lineage: Eukaryota; Viridiplantae; Streptophyta; Magnoliopsida; Caryophyllales; Amaranthaceae.
UUUAUUAAUAUAUUAAUACAAAUAAUAUAGAAUAAUAAUUAUUAAUUAUCAUUAGUAUCUUUAAUUAUUAUCAUUAAUUAUUAUUAUUAUUAUUAUUUUAUGAUUAUUAAUAUUAGUUAUUCAUAACUAUCAUUUAAAAAUAUCCAAAUACUAUUAUUAUUACUUAUCAUUAUAAUUAUUAUUUAAUAUUCAUAUUAUUAUUGUUUAAGUAUUAUUUAUAUAUUUAUUACAUUCAAUUUAAUUCAAUUCAGUUUAACUAAAUUCAGCUCAGUUCAGUUCAGUUCAGCUGUUUUAUGCCGAAGAUAACAUUCCCUAACUUGUCUUAUUUAUGGCGAAAAUUCACAAUGCUUAAGGUGGUUGAUUGAUUCAAUAUAUGCUUGAUUGAUAUAGUGUGAAUGAUUAAGUCAAUAACUUAUCCUCUAAAAAUAAAAGUCCGUAACUUAUUAAGUUACAUGUCUACCAUUUCUCAUUUCAUUUACCUCACUUUAUCUGCGAAGAUGAGUAUCAUUCCCAAUAUAUCAAUUAAGUAUUUUAUCUUCGUAGUUAUUGGUGUACCUCAAUAACAUAAAAUUUCUUUAAUUAUCCUAGCUUUGUAUUAUACUAUCCUAAAAAAAGCUUUUUAUUAUAGUACUCAGUAUUAGUAUUACAAAUAUAUAGUAAAACAAUUUCUCCUUUUCUCUCUCUAUUAUUUAGAAUGUCGUCCCGUUUUCUUUUCUCCAUAUAAUAUUUAGAAAUCCAUUUCCUAUUUCUUCAAUGAAGUUCACCAAAUGAUACGAACCUGAUUUCAAUCAAUCCACCAUCCUAGAUCUUCCAGAUUAUUCACCAAAAAAAUCUUUUUCUUAAUAUCUAAACCAAUUUUCUCAAUUGGGACUCUCUUAAGUCCAACUCAUUUUCAUUUGCACAACUAUAUUUUUCUCUGCUUUUUUUGUCGAACUUGAAGCCACCGGUACUUCCACCGGAGUUCUGCCACCAGCGAUCGGACAAUGGUUAAUUGUUGAGUGUUGCAUGUUCUUUUUCGCUCUACUCUAUUAUGUAUCUAUUGCUGGAAUACCCUUAUUUUGUGUGUGCAAUGGUGCCUCGAAAAUUUCUGCAUAAUAAUAUCGUAUAUAUAUAACUGCAGAAAGUUUUAAAAUCUCUUGCAUUUCUCUCGAGGAACACAAUCUAGCCUCUUUUUUUUGGUGUUGAACAAUCUUGUCCUUAAUCAAGACAUUUUAUACAAUCCAUUGAUUUGGCAAAUGAAAAGGGAAGUUAAAUAUAAUAAUUUUUUUCAACCAAAUCAAUCUUUCCUUGAUUUAAGGAACCAAAUUAUUACCUUAUCCAAUUACUUUUAAUUUCCAAAACUUAUAUGACCAUGGCACAUGCAUGGAUUGAUUCUGGAGUCUACCCAUCAGCAAAUUUAGAGAUAGAGACGACACGUGGUAUUGAAAAUGUGAGGAUAAUUGUGGAGACGACAUUUGGCGGAAUUGAUAUUAGCUUGACAAAUAAGCAUUAUGUACUUAGCUUUAUAUAUAUAUAUAGAUUAGUGUUUUGACCAAGUCAAAACACUAAAAACUACUUGAAAAGCUUGUGCCGAACACGCCCUAUGAAGAAGUUAAGAAGUACCUUCAAGAUGUGCUGCUCCAAAUGCAAUGCGGUAAUAGGCUUAUCAUGAUCAUGGAGAAGAUUCCAACAGAGAUCGCAAAGUAUCUGAUUUCAAAAGUGAUUAAUUCUGUAGCUACUGAUCAGAAAGAUUUGGUCGAAUAUGCAGAGGAGUUCUAUUAUGGAGGAUUAACUCAGGUGUGCUUUCAAAACUUUGUGAAAGCACAUGGCAAAUUUGAGGAUUGGAAGGCCUACCUUCAGGAAAGGGAAUAGGAGAUUGGUAAGAUGAACAGUGGAUGGAUAAAACUCAACUCGUCCAAAGUAAAAAAAGCAUAACAAAGAUAGCCUUGCACCAUCCAUUAGGAAGCAGUUUAGCAAGGAAAGGAACAAGAAUAGGGAGAUGUUAAGCCAAUUGGAGGCUGACCUGGAGAAAGAAAUGGACUACAUCUUCAAGAAAAUGUCUAAGUUUGUAUUUCUAGUUGGGUCUCUUAAGGAAGUCAACGCCAGGGCCGUAUUUGGGCAUGGGCGAGAGGGGCAGCUGUCCACGGUCCAAAACACAUAACCCAAAUAAGUAAAGGUAAAAGAGAAUAAAAGGAAAAAUAGAAAAAAAUGGUCCUUCUCCAAUGGAUGGUUGCAACUUUUUUUGGUUUUGCAAAAUUGAACUUUAUUUGUUAUUUCUUUAUUAAUCAUUUAAUUGUGCAUCUUUUCGAUUUUUUUUUUUUGGAUUUUCUGUUUGACAUAUUAAAUGAUCAAACUUUAUUUGUAAUUUCUUUAUUAAUCAUUCAAUCGUGCAUCUUUUUGAUUUUUUUUUGUUUUUGAGUUUUCUGAUUGACAUAUUAAAUGAUCAAGUACUUACAUCCUUAUUUUAACGUCUCUUUCAAAAAUUUCGGACCAAAAAAUUGUUUAUUUUUCGGUCUAGACCGAAAAAUAAAACAUUCAAAAAACUUGGACUUAAUUAGGUCCAUAAUAUGUAGGCUCGCCCUUGGGCCUCCAAAAUCUCAGAAACGGGGCUGGUCAAUUUUCUCAAAGAACAAUCUAAAUGGAUGGGCAUCCUGGUUUUAAAAGAAGAUGUUGCUGAGAAACCUGAGAUGAUAGAGUUGGCAGCGUCUAAGGGAGUGAAGGUUGACAAGAUGUUUCCACUUGACAGUGACAAGUGAGGGUCUAGUACACUGAGUUAGUGGGUUAGUCCGUAUGAGAGUGUUUGCAUGUGAACUGGGCCUAUUAAUAUUUUAGCGCUAAAGAUAAAUGGACCAGAAAUUGUAAAAACAAGUAUUCUUUCGAGAAGGUGGAGAUAUAUGGCAACUUAUUCCACAAAUUUGAACUUCGAUAUUGCGCAGAUACUGGUAGAUAAUAGUCCCAAAC